RNAcentral lists this ribosomal RNA (468 nucleotides) under uncultured bacterium. RNAcentral describes it as "partial 16S ribosomal RNA". It matches the Rfam family "Bacterial small subunit ribosomal RNA", at positions 28 to 507 of the family's 1533-position model. The record is from RNAcentral.
GACGAACGCUGGCGGCGUGCUUAAUACAUGCAAGUCGAACGGAAAGGCCCUGCUCUUGUGGCGUGCUCGAGUGGCGAACGGGUGAGUAACACGCGAGUAUACUGCCCUUGACUGUGGGAUAACAUCACGAAACUGGGGCUAAUACCGGAUAGGAGCUCCUGCUGCACGGUGGGGGUUGGAAAGUUUCGGCGGUUGUGGAUGGACUCGCGGGUUAUCAGCUUGUUGGUGGGGUAGGUGAUUACCAAGGUUUUGAAGGGUAGCCGGCCUGAGAGGGUGACCGGCCACAUUGGGACUGAGAUACGGCCCAGACUCGUACGGGAGGCAGCAGGGGGGAAUAUUACACAAUGGGCGGAAGUGUGAUGCAGCAACGCCGCGUGCGGGAUGACGGCCUUCGGGUUGUAAACCGCUUUCGCCUGUGACGAAGCGUGAGUGACGGUAAUGAGUAAGGAAGCACCGGCUAACUACGUG